Molecule: ribosomal RNA, 407 nt
Filed under: uncultured bacterium
Lineage: Bacteria
Description: partial 16S ribosomal RNA
Rfam family: Bacterial small subunit ribosomal RNA
Source: RNAcentral
AUUGAACGCUGGCGGCAGGCCUAACACAUGCAAGUCGAGCGGAGCGGCGGACGGGUGAGUACUGCCUCGGAAUCUGCCUGGUAGUGGGGGAUAACGUCCGGAAACGGGCGCUAAUACCGCAUACUAUCAGAUGAGACUAGGUCGGAUUAGCUAGUUGGUGGGGUAAAGGCAUACCAAGGCGAAGAUCCGUAACUGGUCUGAGAGGAUGAUCAGUCACACUUGAACUGAGACACGGUCCAGACUCCUACGGGAGGCAGCAGUGGGGAAUAUAGGACAAUGGGCUGAGGCCUGAUCCAGCCAUGCCGCGUGUGGGAAGAAUGUCAUCGUAUUGUAAAGUACUUUCAGCGGGGAGGCUUUACCCGAAGAAUAAGCACCGGCUAACUCCGUGCCAGCAGCCGCGGUAAUUC